UCGGAUAUGGUGUAAUGGCUAACAUUGCCGCCUCUCAUAAUUUGAGUGAGUGGGUCGUCUUCGCGGCAGCUCGGGGUUCGAUUCCCCGUAUCCGAG
This is a non-coding RNA of Steccherinum ochraceum, 96 nucleotides long. NCBI's taxonomy places the organism in Eukaryota, Fungi, Basidiomycota, Agaricomycetes, Polyporales, Steccherinaceae. The record is from the annotation of a GenBank genome assembly.